Molecule: ribosomal RNA, 447 nt
Filed under: uncultured bacterium
Lineage: Bacteria
Description: partial 16S ribosomal RNA
Rfam family: Bacterial small subunit ribosomal RNA
Source: RNAcentral
AACGAACGCUGGCGGCAGGCCUAACACAUGCAAGUCGAACGCCCCGCAAGGGGAGUGGCGCACGGGUGAGUAACGCGUGGGAAUAUGCCCUUCGGUUCGGAAUAACACAGGGAAACUUGUGCUAAUACCGGAUACGAUCUACGGAUGAAAGAUUUAUCGCCGAGGGAGUAGCCCGCGUAGGAUUAGCUAGUUGGUGAGGUAAUGGCUCACCAAGGCGACGAUCCUUAGCUGGUCUCAGAGGAUGAUCAGCCACACUGGGACUGAGACACGGCCCAGACUCCUACGGGAGGCAGCAGUGGGGAAUAUUGGACAAUGGGCGAAAGCCUGAUCCAGCCAUGCCGCGUGAGUGAUGAAGGCCUUAGGGUUGUAAAGCUCUUUCGCCAGGGAAGAUAAUGACGGUACCUGGAAAAGAAGCCACGGCUAACUACGUGCCAGCCGCCGCCGUAA